AUAGCAUUACCCCGGCUCCAAGGAGAGUACCGAUCUUUGACUGGAGACUGGAUCCCCUUCAAGCAGCUGGGUUACCCCACUCUAGAAGCCUACCUGAGAAGUGUGCCAGCAGUGGUCAGGAUAGAGACUAGCAGAUCUGGAGAGAUCAUCUGCUACGCUGUAGCUUGCACAGAAACCGCAAGGAUUGCUCAGCUUGUGGCUCGUCAGAGGACCUCGAAAAGGAAAAUGGGGCGACAAAUUAACUGUCAGAUGAGAGUGAAGAAAACCAUGCCAUUCUUUCUAGAAGGGAAACCAAAGGCAACCCUCAGACAACCAGGAUUUGCCUCAGACUAUUCGAUCAGCAAGAAACCUAAUCCAGCACUUUUAAGAGACAAAGGAAGCACCCUCGGAGUUAAGGCUGAUGUGGACAUGCCACCUUACCCAGAUAUUCCAGUGCAGAGGCAUGUGAGCAUGUCUCCCAACAGCAGGUACCUGGGCUU
Peromyscus leucopus (white-footed mouse) is the source of this 479-nucleotide long non-coding RNA. RefSeq lists it as uncharacterized. The transcript has 3 exons. The record is from RefSeq and is a predicted model, not a curated record. Lineage: Eukaryota; Metazoa; Chordata; Mammalia; Rodentia; Cricetidae.